CAUGCACCGGUGGGGUCCCUCGGCCUGGCCUGCACCCUCUCACAAUCUGGGAUCCCUGGGGAUGUCAGAGAGCCAGUUUUGGCCUGAUCCCACAGGCCAGGCCGAGGGACCCCACUGGUGCACA
MicroRNA precursor from Myotis lucifugus (little brown bat), 124 nucleotides. It matches the Rfam family "mir-9193 microRNA precursor family". NCBI's taxonomy places the organism in Eukaryota, Metazoa, Chordata, Mammalia, Chiroptera, Vespertilionidae. The record is from Rfam.